RNAcentral lists this ribosomal RNA (407 nucleotides) under uncultured bacterium. RNAcentral describes it as "partial 16S ribosomal RNA". It matches the Rfam family "Bacterial small subunit ribosomal RNA", at positions 355 to 774 of the family's 1533-position model. RNAcentral also lists the same sequence under 1 other name. The record is from RNAcentral.
UGGGGAAUAUUGCGCAAUGGGCGAAAGCCUGACGCAGCGACGCAGCGUGAGGGACGAAGGCCUUCGGGUUGUAAACCUCUUUCAGCGGGGACGAAGCGAAAGUGACGGUACCCGCAGAAGAAGCACCGGCUAACUACGUGCCAGCAGCCGCGGUAAUACGUAGGGUGCAAGCAUUGUCCGGAUUUAUUGGGCGUAAAGAGCUCGUAGGCGGCUUGUCACGUCGGGUGUGAAAACUCGGGGCUCAACCCCGAGCCUGCACUCGAUACGGGCUAGCUAGAGUGUUGCAGGGGAGACUGGAAUUCCUGGUGUAGCGGUGAAAUGCGCAGAUAUCAGGAGGAACACCGGUGGCGAAGGCGGGUCUCUGGGCAACUACUGACGCUGAGGAGCGAAAGCGUGGGGAGCGAACA